RNAcentral lists this ribosomal RNA (492 nucleotides) under uncultured bacterium. RNAcentral describes it as "partial 16S ribosomal RNA". It matches the Rfam family "Bacterial small subunit ribosomal RNA", at positions 29 to 507 of the family's 1533-position model. The record is from RNAcentral.
AGUGGACGCUGGCGGUAGGCCUAACACAUGCAAGUCGAACGGCAGCACAGUAAGAGCUUGCUCUUACGGGUGGCGAGUGGCGGACGGGUGAGGAAUACAUCCGAAUCUACUUUUUCGUGGGGGAUAACGUAGGGAAACUUACGCUAAUACCGCAUACGACCUACGGGUGAAAGCAGGGGAUCUUCGGACCUUGCGCGAUUGAAUGAGCCGAUGUCGGAUUAGCUAGUUGGCGGGGUAAAGGCCCACCAAGGCGACGAUCCGUAGCUGGUCUGAGAGGAUGAUCAGCCACACUGGAACUGAGACACGGUCCAGACUCCUACGGGAGGCAGCAGUGGGGAAUAUUGGACAAUGGGCGCAAGCCUGAUCCAGCCAUACCGCGUGGGUGAAGAAGGCCUUCGGGUUGUAAAGCCCUUUUGUUGGGAAAGAAAAGCAGCAGGUUAAUACCCCGCUGUUCUGACGGUACCCAAAGAAUAAGCACCGGCUAACUUCGUG